This 382-nucleotide unclassified non-coding RNA is filed under the name Hevea brasiliensis (rubber tree). The record is from RNAcentral. Lineage: Eukaryota; Viridiplantae; Streptophyta; Magnoliopsida; Malpighiales; Euphorbiaceae.
GUUUGAGCUGCACACCUAAAAAUAAAACAUGAAAUCGAGCAAAACAAUGAACAACUAUAGAAAUCCGACAUACUUAUAUAUCCUAAUAAGUAAUUCAACUUAUAUAUGUACAUUAAAAGAUCAAUCCUGAAAGUGAAAGGGAAAAGAUUGCAUUAUUGAUGUUAGAACUUGAACGAAAAUCCCUGCACCUAACGUCUGCACCCACGAAAUGUGAUUCUCCUAACAAUACCAGCAAAAACUUUGCAUGUUUGCCUUUGGCACACUAUGCACUAGUAUCAUCCGACACCUAAAUCUUUUCCCUUCUGUGAUCUAUCUGAUAUCCAUACUUGCCAUCCGACAGCUACAAUUUUUUAGAACAGAAUCCAAGUUCUAUAGCUCAAUA